AGGUUGAGAACCACUGACAUGGAAGAAGCAACUAGCGGAGCGCGGUGGUGCGCGCCUGUAGUCCCAGCUACUGGAGAGGCUGAGGCUGGAGGAUCGCUUGAGCCCAGGAGUUCUGGGCUGUAGUGCGCUAUGCCGAUCGGGUGUCCGCACUAAGUUCGGCAUCAAUAUGGUGACCUCCUGGGAGCGGGGGGCCACCAGGUUGCCUAAGGAGGGGUGAACCGACCCAGGUCGGAGACGGAGCGGCAUGUAGGGGAGGA
Long non-coding RNA from Myotis brandtii (Brandt's bat), 257 nucleotides. RefSeq lists it as uncharacterized. The transcript is spliced from 3 exons. The record is from RefSeq and is a predicted model, not a curated record. Lineage: Eukaryota; Metazoa; Chordata; Mammalia; Chiroptera; Vespertilionidae.